Molecule: ribosomal RNA, 999 nt
Filed under: Rhodospirillaceae bacterium
Lineage: Bacteria; Pseudomonadati; Pseudomonadota; Alphaproteobacteria; Rhodospirillales; Rhodospirillaceae
Also listed under: 1 other name
Description: bacterial LSU rRNA
Rfam family: Bacterial large subunit ribosomal RNA
Source: RNAcentral
AUUGAAGCCCCGGUAAACGGCGGCCGUAACUAUAACGGUCCUAAGGUAGCGAAAUUCCUUGUCGGGUAAGUUCCGACCUGCACGAAUGGCGUAACGACUGCCCUACUGUCUCCAACGCGGACUCAGCGAAAUUGAACUCUCCGUGAAGAUGCGGAGUUCCCGCGGUCAGACGGAAAGACCCCGUGAACCUUUACUAUAGCUUCGCAGUGGCAACAGGACCGUUAUGUGUAGGAUAGGCGGGAGACAUUGAAGCAGGGACGCUAGUUCUUGUGGAGUCACCCUUGAAAUACCGCCCUUAACUGUCUUGUUGUCUAACCGCGGCCCGUCUAUCCGGGUCCGGGACCCUGCGUGGUGGGUAGUUUGACUGGGGCGGUCGCCUCCCAAAGAGUAACGGAGGCGCGCGAAGGUGAGCUCAGAGCGGUCGGAAAUCGCUCGUUGAGUGCAAGGGCAUAAGCUCGCCUGACUGUGACACCGACGGGUGGAACAGAGACGAAAGUCGGUCCUAGUGAUCCGGUGGUCCCGCGUGGAAGGGCCAUCGCUCAACGGAUAAAAGGUACUCCGGGGAUAACAGGCUGAUACCCCCCAAGAGUCCACAUCGACGGGGGUGUUUGGCACCUCGAUGUCGGCUCAUCUCAUCCUGGGGCUGGAGCAGGUCCCAAGGGUAUGGCUGUUCGCCAUUUAAAGAGGUACGUGAGCUGGGUUUAGAACGUCGUGAGACAGUUCGGUCCCUAUCUGCCGUGGGUGUACGAGACUUGAGAGGAUCUGUCCCUAGUACGAGAGGACCGGGAUGGACAUACCUCUGGUGGAGCGGUUGUCACGCCAGUGGCACUGCCGCGUAGCUAUGUAUGGACUGGAUAACCGCUGAAGGCAUCUAAGCGGGAAACCAACCUCAAAACUAGGUCUCGCCUGAGAGCCGUAGUAGACCACUACGUCGAUAGGCCGGGUGUGGAAGCGUGGUAACACGUGAAGCUUACCGGUACUAAUUGCUCGAUCGGCUUC